Molecule: ribosomal RNA, 478 nt
Filed under: uncultured Limnobacter sp.
Lineage: Bacteria; Pseudomonadati; Pseudomonadota; Betaproteobacteria; Burkholderiales; Burkholderiaceae
Description: bacterial SSU rRNA
Rfam family: Bacterial small subunit ribosomal RNA
Source: RNAcentral
CUCAAAGGAAUUGACGGGGACCCGCACAAGCGGUGGAUGAUGUGGAUUAAUUCGAUGCAACGCGAAGAACCUUACCUACCCUUGACAUGUCCGGAACUUGCCAGAGAUGGCUUGGUGCCCGAAAGGGAAUCGGAACACAGGUGCUGCAUGGCUGUCGUCAGCUCGUGUCGUGAGAUGUUGGGUUAAGUCCCGCAACGAGCGCAACCCUUAUCAUUAGUUGCUACGCAAGGGCACUCUAAUGAGACUGCCGGUGACAAACCGGAGGAAGGUGGGGAUGACGUCAAGUCCUCAUGGCCCUUAUGGGUAGGGCUUCACACGUAAUACAAUGGUCGGUACAGAGGGUUGCCAACCCGCGAGGGGGAGCCAAUCCCAGAAAACCGAUCGUAGUCCGGAUUGUAGUCUGCAACUCGACUGCAUGAAGUCGGAAUCGCUAGUAAUCGCGGAUCAGCAUGUCGCGGUGAAUACGUUCCCGGGCCUU